AGAGUUUGAUCCUGGCUCAGAAUCAACGCUGGCGGCGCGCCUAACACAUGCAAGUCGAACGAGAAAGGGGAGCAAUCCCUGAGUAAAGUGGCGUACGGGUGAGUAACACGUGGAUCAUCUACCCCUUAGUUUGGAAUAACCCUGGGAAACCGGGGCUAAUACCGGAUAAGCUCGAGAGAGGAAAGCAGCAAUGCGCUGAGGGAGGAGUCCGCGGCCGAUUAGCUAGUUGGCAGGGUAAAAGCCUACCAAGGCAGAGAUCGGUAGCCGGCCUGAGAGGGCACACGGCCACACUGGCACUGAAACACGGGCCAGACUCCUACGGGAGGCAGCAGUGGGGAAUCUUGCACAAUGGGGGAAACCCUGAUGCAGCGACGCCGCGUGAGCGAUGAAGCCCUUCGGGGUGUAAAGCUCUUUCGGCAGGGAAGAUUGUGACGGUACCUGCAGAAGCAGCUGCGGCUAACUACGUGCCAGCAGCCGCGGUAAUACGUAGGCAGCAAGCGUUGUUCGGAGUUACUGGGCGUAAAGGGUGUGUAGGCGGUUGUUUAAGUUUGGUGUGAAAUCUCCCGGCUCAACUGGGAGGGUGCGCCGAAUACUGAAUGACUAGAGUGCGGGAGAGGAAAGUGGAAUUCCUGGUGUAGCGGUGAAAUGCGUAGAUAUCAGGAGGAACACCGGUGGUGUAGACGGCUUUCUGGACCGUAACUGACGCUGAGACACGAAAGCGUGGGUAGCAAACAGGAUUAGAUACCCUGGUAGUCC
RNAcentral lists this ribosomal RNA (756 nucleotides) under uncultured bacterium. RNAcentral's name for it is "bacterial SSU rRNA". It matches the Rfam family "Bacterial small subunit ribosomal RNA", at positions 8 to 796 of the family's 1533-position model. The record is from RNAcentral.